GUGAAUCAUCAAAUUUUUGAACGCACAUUGCACUCGCUGGUAUUCCGGAGAGUAUGCCUGUUUGAGGGUCAGUUUAAAUAAAAAUCGGUGUGGGUGCUUCCUGUCGUGGUGACGCACCGGAUUUGGGUCGUCUUGCCUUGGGUUAAGCGUCCUCAUAUUUUGCAUGGUUUUUUCGAACGUAUUUAAAUGAUUUUACGUACGUUUGCGAUAUAGC
This 214-nucleotide unclassified non-coding RNA is filed under the name Glomus sp. RNAcentral describes it as "partial contains 5.8S ribosomal RNA and internal transcribed spacer 2". The stretch from base 1 to 71 matches the Rfam family "5.8S ribosomal RNA", at positions 84 to 154 of the family's 154-position model. The record is from RNAcentral. Lineage: Eukaryota; Fungi; Glomeromycota; Glomeromycetes; Glomerales; Glomeraceae.